AGAAUUCACCAGGCUGGCUGUGUGGAGAGGACGAGGGGAAGACGAUGGCCCCAUUUUCAUGUCCGCUGCUUGCCUGUCACAUGCCUGUGUUUGCUACAAAGUCACCAGAGAGAAAGCUGGAAGCUGCCCU
This is a long non-coding RNA of Notothenia coriiceps (black rockcod), 130 nucleotides long. RefSeq lists it as uncharacterized. Lineage: Eukaryota; Metazoa; Chordata; Actinopteri; Perciformes; Nototheniidae. The record is from RefSeq and is a predicted model, not a curated record. The transcript has 3 exons.